Molecule: ribosomal RNA, 482 nt
Filed under: uncultured bacterium
Lineage: Bacteria
Description: partial 16S ribosomal RNA
Rfam family: Bacterial small subunit ribosomal RNA
Source: RNAcentral
AUUGAACGCUGGCGGCAUGCUUUACACAUGCAAGUCGAACGGAAAGAGGCCGCUAGUUGCUGAUGCGCGGGGAACGGGCGCGUAAUGAACACGAAUGUGACCUGUCCUGGGGGUUAAGUUAUCGAAAGGGAAGUUAGUAUCGCAUACGAUAUAUGCUCGUAAGCCGGGGUGUGUAUUGGAUCGCGCCAGCGGUGCGGCCGCUGUUAGAUUAGGUAGUUGGUGGGGUAAAGGUUUACCAAGCCAACGAUUUGUAGCUGGACUGAGAGGACGACCAGCCACACUGGGACUGAGACACGGACCAGACUCCUACGGGAGGCAGCAGUGGGGAAUUUUAGGCAAUGGGCGCAAGCCUGACCCAGCAAUGCCGCGUGCGGGAAGAAGGCCUUCGGGUUGUAAACUGCUUUUGUGCGGAACGAACCGGUUUUGGUUAAGACGCGGAGCUAGUGACGGUACCGUAUGAAGAAGCACCGGCUAACUACGUG